UCCCUCCAGAUUCCUUACCCAGCAGACCUAAACACUGGUCUGAGUGCUUAUAAAAUGAAGAAACGUAAAAUUGAAACUGACAUAAAUUUUUUGUGAUGCACAGGCUAGUUUCAAAUCAAC
This 120-nucleotide small nucleolar RNA is filed under the name Echinops telfairi (small Madagascar hedgehog). RNAcentral describes it as "Small nucleolar RNA SNORA61 (ENSETEG00000024352.1)". Lineage: Eukaryota; Metazoa; Chordata; Mammalia; Afrosoricida; Tenrecidae. The record is from RNAcentral.